Long non-coding RNA from Talpa occidentalis (Iberian mole), 982 nucleotides. RefSeq lists it as uncharacterized. The record is from RefSeq and is a predicted model, not a curated record. The transcript is spliced from 3 exons. Lineage: Eukaryota; Metazoa; Chordata; Mammalia; Eulipotyphla; Talpidae.
CACUGCCCGCCGCCAUUUUGUCAAAGGAAGUGUGAGGUCGUGCGUCACCCGAAAGCCCAUUUCGGACUUGCCGGAGCAGCUCCCCCGCCCUCUCCCGGGACCGACUUCCGGUGGACGCCAUCUUGGUAAAGUAGGCGGCGCGGCGAAGGGGCGGGGAGGCCGCCGUCGUGGGUGAGGGCCGAAGGCUCCUCCCUGAGGUUCAGAUUAGUGGCGGCUUUGAUUUGUAGGUUCUCGGCUGUAGCCCCAGGCAAACUCCCUUUUCCGGCCGUCCAAGAAUAUCUUUCCUUAAUUUAAGACAACUGCGUCCCGAAGAACUCAAUUCCGAAAACCCAGAGGCUCGGGGCUCAGUGCUGUACUUCGACCAGAGCAGAAAUGAGAUCCUCUUAUGAGCGCUGCUAUUUUGAAUCCUACUUUCCAGAUGGAAAUCGAGAGGAAAUGGAGGCACAGGGAAGUCAAGUCUUGCAGCCCACUGCGUGGAAGAUCGAGGCAUGAGCCGGGUUGCCUGAUGACGGUGACCCAGGGCUUUCCAGCCUGCCAUUUCUGGGCCCAUGAACUUGGAUGGGGCAAAAAUAUGCCUUCCAGGUGACUCAGGUGUGGGACACCUGACCCUAGAGACUCUCACUCAGCUGCUUAUAAGAUCUAGGAGUGGGUGGCUGAGAAGUUUGGUGGAAAGGCUAACAUUUUAGGAGCCAAGGUCCACUUUGGUCUUCCCUCAGGGGUGAGGCAAGAACAAGGGGGCUGUCUCUGGCUCCUGUUGCCACUUGCUGUUGCCCCCACCCUAAUCCUCCCUGGAAACUGGGCAUGCAGAGGUGAAGACCUUAGGCUCUGUAUUCAGACCGCCCAGUUCACUUGCCACUUACUGCAUCCCUCAGGAUCUCGGUUUUCUCACCUGAAAAUGGGGUGAUCUCAGGCCUCCCCGGUGGCGCAGUGGUUGAGCGCUGGGUUGCGAAGCUGCCCGCAGCCUCUGCAGCGCUGGUUUGUU